GCCGGAGUGGUCCGAAUCAGGUAAGGAGCCUGACUUAGGAUCAGGUGAUGCAAACCCUGCAUCUUGCGGGUUCAAAUCCCGCCUCCGGCG
Molecule: transfer RNA, 90 nt
Filed under: Candidatus Woesearchaeota archaeon
Lineage: Archaea; Nanobdellati; Candidatus Woesearchaeota
Description: tRNA-Leu
Rfam family: tRNA
About the family: Transfer RNA (tRNA) molecules are approximately 80 nucleotides in length. Their secondary structure includes four short double-helical elements and three loops (D, anti-codon, and T loops). Further hydrogen bonds mediate the characteristic L-shaped molecular structure. tRNAs have two regions of fundamental functional importance: the anti-codon, which is responsible for specific mRNA codon recognition, and the 3' end, to which the tRNAs corresponding amino acid is attached (by aminoacyl-tRNA synthetases). tRNAs cope with the degeneracy of the genetic code in two manners: having more than one tRNA (with a specific anti-codon) for a particular amino acid; and 'wobble' base-pairing, i.e. permitting non-standard base-pairing at the 3rd anti-codon position.
Source: RNAcentral